AGCUCUCAGUCAAGCCCCCCAGGCAGGAGAGAUGCUGCAGGUUUUAUGAGAACCCCUGGACUCAAGGCUGGAGUACCCAAAAUGUGAGCAAGGCACAAACUUCUCAGAGCCUCCUCCUCACCUGCAAAUGUGCUGACGGUGUGCAUCACACACACUGGCGCCCAGUGACAUUAAAAGCUGGGGAGUCUCACUCACUUUCAUCACUGAAGGUUCUGAUUUUAUUCCCAUCUCCAGCCCCCAGAGUCCCGGGUGACCUUGCAAACUGCUUCGGAUUCUACAUCUAGAAUGUGAUGAAUUUCUUUUUUCAUCGUCUUCCCACUGGAAUCGAAGCUCGUGAGAGCAGGACCUUGGCCUGUUUUACUCACUGCUGACUUCCCAGGGCUUGGAGCAGUGCCCGGCACGGAGUCCGCGCUCGGUGCGUGUCUGUCAAGUGACCACAUGGAUCCCAUCACCUGUUCUACACUUGUCGCCCGUUGCCUUUGUGGUAUUUGGCACCACCCUGGGCAGAUGUGGGUGAUACGUGGCAGUCGUGAAAGAAUGAGACAACAACAUAAGACCCGCAGAGCCAGGAUCUAACACACAGGCAAGGCGGGCACGCCUCGGCAGGAAGUCAUGGGGCUCAGAGGCCCUCGUGGGCUAAGGGCUGAGGUCAGGCAGGCGCCUCUGUGUCUGCUGGGCAAAGAUCAGGCUGGUGUGGGGUAAGGGCUGGGUGAGCAUCGUUGAGCAGAAAUUACAUUCUAGGUUGCCCUAAGGACAUGGAGAAAACUGCUAGUUUUUAAAAAUCGAACUGAAUUCUGUCUUCGUGGGCUGGAGAGCAUGGUCAAAGUCAUUUCUAGCAGAUCACACCCCAUCUGGUUUGGGGCGGUUCCUCCGUGCCUGGAAACUUCUAUACCAUGCCAGGGCUCAUAGCUCCAUUGUUUGUCGUCCUGAGACUUGGCUUUCCUAAACACGGCCCAGAAGUUCUCUUCCCAACGCUGGGCAAGUGGCUGAGAAGUUGCCCAUCCAAGGAAACACAUAGAGAAGAUGAGGAAAUGGAGGCACAGAAGACUCAAAUAACUUGCUCAAGUCCACACAGCUAGGAAGUGGAGAGGAAGCUAGAAUUAAUUCCAGGCAGCCUGACAUCAGCAUUAUGUCUACUUCUGGAAGAAACAGAACUGACAGUCUGCUAAGAACUGGUCAGACCCCAGGACACAGGUUUCCAGAACAUGUGAGUGCACUCUGCCUGGUCCAGCGGUCAAAGAGACCACACCAAGACGCAGCACUGCCUACCCCUGGGAGAUCUCAGGACACCAAGAAGGAGAGGAUGCUGAAAGCUUCCGGAGUCCUCGAGGGAAAAACAAAAUCAAUUCAUAAAUGAGAUACAGAGAUAUAGAUAACAUGUAAUAUACAAAGGAUGAGGAGUCGAAAUGUCUUCAGAAUUUUCUAAAGAAUGCUAGAGGCAAGAAGGCAAUGAAACCACAAAUUCCUGAAAAGAAAACAUUUCAAACUUGGAAUUCUAUACUCAGCCAAACAAUAUAGUGGGAGGGUAGACAAAAGAUUUUUUUAAGCACUUCCCGAGAGUUGUUUCUAGGGAAGCCACCAAGCGCUCCACGGAUGACAAGCCAAUGACACUGUAAAAAUGUGAUUCGGGGAUGUA
This is a long non-coding RNA of Mustela lutreola (European mink), 1636 nucleotides long. RefSeq lists it as uncharacterized. The record is from RefSeq and is a predicted model, not a curated record. Lineage: Eukaryota; Metazoa; Chordata; Mammalia; Carnivora; Mustelidae. The transcript has 3 exons.